This 1754-nucleotide ribosomal RNA is filed under the name Henningsomyces puber. RNAcentral describes it as "partial large subunit ribosomal RNA". It matches the Rfam family "Eukaryotic large subunit ribosomal RNA", at positions 40 to 1395 of the family's 3401-position model. The record is from RNAcentral. Lineage: Eukaryota; Fungi; Basidiomycota; Agaricomycetes; Agaricales; Schizophyllaceae.
AUAUCAAUAAGCGGAGGAAAAGAAACUAACAAGGAUUCCCCUAGUAACUGCGAGUGAAGCGGGAAAAGCUCAAAUUUAAAAUCUGGUAGUCUUUGGCUGCCCGAGUUGUAAUUUAGAGAAGUGUUACCCGUGCUGGACCAUGUACAAGUCUUCUGGAAUGGAGCAUCAUGGAGGGUGAGAAUCCCGUCUUUGACAUGGACUACCAGUGCAUUGUGGUAUGCUCUCAACGAGUCGAGUUGUUUGGGAAUGCAGCUCAAAAUGGGUGGUAAAUUCCAUCUAAAGCUAAAUAUAGACGAGAGACCGAUAGCGAACAAGUACCGUGAGGGAAAGAUGAAAAGAACUUUGGAAAGAGAGUUAAACAGUACGUGAAAUUGCUGAAAGGGAAACGCUUGAAGUUAGUCGCAUUGUCUUGAGAUCAACCUGGCUUUGCUUGGUGUAUUCUCUAGUUAAUGGGUCAACAUCAGUUUUGACUAUUGGAUAAGAGCUGGAGGAAUGUGGCUCCUUUAGGAGUGUUAUAGCCUCUAGCUGUAUACAGUGGUUGGGACUGAGGCUCUCAGCACGCCUUUAUGGCCGGGUUUCGACCACGUACGUGCUUAGGAUGUUGGCAUAAUAGCUUUAAGCGACCCGUCUUGAAACACGGACCAAGGAGUCUAACAUGCAUGCGAGUGUUUGGGUGGUAAACUCAGGCGCGUAAUGAAAGUGAAAAUUGAGAUCUCUGUCAUGGAGAGCAUCGAUGCCCAGACCGAAACUUUUGGGACGGAUCUGCGGUUGAGCAUGUACGUUGGGACCCGAAAGAUGGUGAACUAUGCCUGAAUAGGGUGAAGCCAGAGGAAACUCUGGUGGAAGCUCGUAGCGAUUCUGACGUGCAAAUCGAUCGUCGAAUUUGGGUAUAGGGGCGAAAGACUAAUCGAACCAUUUACUAAGGUGGUUAAGAGGCAAACUAAAAGUGUUUGUCUAGUGAUUUUGUUGAGGGUUGCAACAUUGUCAAAUUGCGGGGACGUCCUUAGAGCCUUUGCUACCGCCUUUACAUGGAAACAUAGUAGAGUGCACCAGGGUAAUGACCUCGGGUAUGGUAAAAACGCAAAGGAUUGGAUAAUCCGCAGCCAAGUCCUAAGGGUUGGUACUACCAAUCUAUGGAUGCAGUUCACAGACUAAAUGGCAAUGGGUCUCUGUUACAAAGAGGCUUAAGAUAUAGUCGGUCCCGUCACGAAAGUGAACUAACAGAUGAAGAUCAGUACAUUCCUCAACAAUAGAUGUCUGAUCCCGAGCUGUUGGGAGGUAUACAUGUAUAUCUUGGGGUUAAAUGCUAGUAGCUGGUUCCUGCCGAAGUUUCCCUCAGGAUAGCAGAAACUCAUAUCAGAUUUAUGUGGUAAAGCGAAUGAUUAGAGGCCUUGGGGUUGUAACAACCUUAACCUAUUCUCAAACUUUAAAUAUGUAAGAUCGAGCCGUCUCUUAGUUGGACCGCUUGGCGAUUGAGAGUUUCUAGUGGGCCAUUUUUGGUAAGCAGAACUGGCGAUGCGGGAUGAACCGAACGUGAGGUUAAGGUGCCGGAAUAUACACUCAUCAGACACCACAAAAGGUGUUAGUUCAUCUAGACAGCAGGACGGUGGCCAUGGAAGUCGGAAUCCGCUAAGGAGUGUGUAACAACUCACCUGCCGAAUGAACUAGCCCUGAAAAUGGAUGGCGCUUAAGUGUGUUACCCAUACCUCACCAUUAGUGUUGAAGUGACGCACUAAUGAGUAGGCAGGCGUGGA